AUCCUUUUUUGUUUCAUAAGUGUGAUGAUUAGGUUUUCACGAUGUUGUGUGAGAUGUGUGCCUACCUCUACAUCAUGUUAUGACAUCAGCACGUUACCAAUCUGACC
Molecule: small nucleolar RNA, 107 nt
Organism: Cynocephalus volans (Philippine flying lemur)
Lineage: Eukaryota; Metazoa; Chordata; Mammalia; Dermoptera; Cynocephalidae
Product: small nucleolar RNA U13
Exons: 1
Source: RefSeq, a predicted model, not a curated record